This 532-nucleotide long non-coding RNA is filed under the name Equus asinus (donkey). RNAcentral's name for it is "lncRNA (ENSEASG00005034819.1, ENSEASG00020010192.1)". The record is from RNAcentral. Lineage: Eukaryota; Metazoa; Chordata; Mammalia; Perissodactyla; Equidae.
CGAUGCUUCCCAAGAAACAGCCGACUCAGCGCCUUGCGAGAGGAAAGGGCGGUGGUGGUCGUUCGUCUCACCCGGGAAGAGUUUCCUCCUGACCUAGGAAGGAAGAGCCCACAGUGAGCCAAAUUGAUGAAUGAAUAGAAGAUGCGCAAUCCGACCUGUGGCCAAGAAGUCCAAGAUCAUACGCAUGUGAGAUUGGGGAUAAUCAUCCACCUAUGAAGACCGCAGUAGGAUGCUCAUUAAGACUCAGUCAACAACACUUUUAGAAUCACUUGCUCUGGGAGAGCUGACGCCAUGUCAGGAGGACACUCAAGCAGGCCUGUGGAGAAGGACGUGUGGAGAGGAACGAGGCCUCCUCACAACAGCCAGCAUCACGUUUCCAUCUGGAUGAGUGAGCCGUCCUGGAAACGGAUCCUCCAGCCCCAGUGACGCCUUCCCAUGACCGCGGCCCUGGCCGACAUCUUGACUGCAGCCUCAUGAGAGACCUUGAGCCAGAAAUACCCAGUUAAACGGCUCCUGGAUUCCUGACCCACAG